AUGGCUGACCGGUUGGUCCUCCUCAACGUGGUGCUCUCCGCCUUCAUGGUUUAUUGGUUGUCCAUGUUCGAGCUGCCGCCUUGGGCGCGCGCCGAGAUCGACAGGCUACGCCGCGCAUGGCUCUGGAGGGGUGAGGAGUCCUGUCAUGGCGGCCAUUGCAAGGUCGCAUGGGGGAUUAUCUGUCGGCCGCGCCAGCUCGGCGGCCUCGGUGUGAUUGACUUGUUGUGCUUUGGUGCCGCCAUGCGCCUGCGAUGGUUGUGGCGGGAACGUGUCUCCCCGUCCAAGCCUUGGAUCGGCCUCCCGACGCCAUGCACGAUCGCUGACAGAGCCAUCUUUGCUGCGGCAACACGUGUGACCAUUGGUUGCGGUGAGCGUGCUCGCUUCUGGUAUGAUAGCUGGCUCGACGGUUGUGCGCCAUUCACCUUGGCGCCGGAACUGUUUGCGGUCUCCAGGCGCAAGUAUCGUUCAGUCCAGGAGGCGAUGCAGGGCGGGCGCUGGGUGUCCGAUCUCCGGGGAAGGAUCACCGCACAUACCCUGCCUGCCUUCGUGCGCCUCUGGUCCGCAAUCAGCCGGAUCGCACUGCGGCCAAACGAAUGUGACACUUUCUCGUGGAAGCCCAAUGAUAGUGGCUGCUUCACGGUGGCGUCCGCCUACAUGAUUCAGUUUCUUGGCUCUACAACCUCGCCGCUUUGGGCCUCGGUUUGGCAGGCUUGGGCGCCGGCGAAAUGCCGCCUUUUUGCCUGGCUCUUUGGUCAGAAUAGGAUCCUUACUGCCGACCGCCUGCUUGCCAGGAAAUGGCCGAACUCCUAUUUCUGCCCGCUCUGUCGCCGAAACUUGGAGACCGCCGACCACCUCCUGAUCACCUGCCCCUGGUCGCAGCAGCUCUGGGCACGGGCCGCCGACCGUUUCUGCUUGCCGGGUUUUCUUCCUGCUUCCUGGCCCCCUUGGACGUCCCUCCACGAGUGGCUCUCUAACCUCUCGGCAGAUGCGCCCUUGGCCAAGCGCAGCAAGUCGAUGGCGCUGAUGGUCCUAUGGUUCAUAUGGAGGGAACGGAAUGGCCGUAUCUUCAGGAGCAACGAGCAUUCGGUCUCUCAGGUGUUGGAUCAACUGCUCGACGAAGCUAGGCAAUGGGCGUUGGCUGGAGGCCGACACCUCUGCUGGGAGUAG
Molecule: ribosomal RNA, 1167 nt
Filed under: Triticum aestivum (bread wheat)
Lineage: Eukaryota; Viridiplantae; Streptophyta; Magnoliopsida; Poales; Poaceae
Description: partial small subunit ribosomal RNA
Source: RNAcentral